GUGCUCACUUCCGCAGCACAUAUACUAAAAUUGGAACGACACAGAGGAGGUUAGCAUGACCCCUGUGCAAGAAAUUUGACAUGCAAAUUUGUGAGGUGUUCCACAGUUUA
Small nuclear RNA from Ailuropoda melanoleuca (giant panda), 110 nucleotides. NCBI's taxonomy places the organism in Eukaryota, Metazoa, Chordata, Mammalia, Carnivora, Ursidae. The record is from Ensembl.